This 75-nucleotide transfer RNA is filed under the name Candidatus Mancarchaeum acidiphilum. Its description in RNAcentral is "tRNA-Arg". It matches the Rfam family "tRNA". From Rfam's summary of the family: Transfer RNA (tRNA) molecules are approximately 80 nucleotides in length. The record is from RNAcentral. Lineage: Archaea; Nanobdellati; Microcaldota.
GGGCCCGUAGCUCAGCUUGGAUAGAGCGGCAGCCUUCUAAGCUGAUGGUCACGGGUUCAAAUCCCGUCGGGCCCG